UACGGAGGGUGCAAGCGUUAGCCGGAUUUAUUGGGCUUAAAGGGUGUGUAGGUGGGUAAGUAAGUCAGUGGUGAAAUCUUAGAGCUUAACUCGGAAACUGCCAUUGAUACUAUUUAUCUUGAAUACUUUGGAGGUAAGCGGAAUAUGUCAUGUAGCGGUGAAAUGCUUAGAUAUCACAUAGAACACCGAUUGCGAAGGCAGCUUACUACACAGUUAUUGACACUGAGGAACGAAAGCGUGGGGAUCAAACAGG
RNAcentral lists this ribosomal RNA (253 nucleotides) under uncultured bacterium. Its description in RNAcentral is "partial 16S ribosomal RNA". It matches the Rfam family "Bacterial small subunit ribosomal RNA", at positions 524 to 776 of the family's 1533-position model. The record is from RNAcentral.